CCUACGGGUGGCUGCAGUAGGGAAUAUUGCUCAAUGGGGGAAACCCUGAAGCAGCAACGCCGCGUGGAGGAUGAAGGUUUUCGGAUUGUAAACUCCUUUUGUUAGAGAAGAUAAUGACGGUAUCUAACGAAUAAGCACCGGCUAACUCCGUGCCCGCAGCCGCGGUAAUACGGAGGGUGCAAGCGUUACUCGGAAUCACUUGGCGUAAAGAGCGCGUAGGCGGGAUAGCAAGUCAGAUGUGAAAUACUAUGGCUUAACCAUAGAACUUCCUUUGAAACGGUUAUUCUAGAGGAUGGGAGAGGUAGGUGGAAUUAUUGGUGGAGGGGGAAAAGACGUAGAGAGAAAGAGGAAGACUCAUUGCGAAGGCGAACUGAUAGAACAUAACUGAAGCUGAUGCGCGAAAGCGUGGGGAGAAAACAGGAGUAGAGACCCUAGUAGUC
RNAcentral lists this ribosomal RNA (440 nucleotides) under uncultured bacterium. RNAcentral's name for it is "partial 16S ribosomal RNA". It matches the Rfam family "Bacterial small subunit ribosomal RNA", at positions 338 to 795 of the family's 1533-position model. The record is from RNAcentral.